RNAcentral lists this ribosomal RNA (703 nucleotides) under uncultured bacterium. RNAcentral's name for it is "bacterial SSU rRNA". It matches the Rfam family "Bacterial small subunit ribosomal RNA", at positions 654 to 1362 of the family's 1533-position model. The record is from RNAcentral.
UAGNCAAGCGNAAUGGCCGGUGUAGGGGUUAAAUCNGUUAAGAUCGGCAGGAACACCAAAUUGAAGGCAGCUUGNUGGGACGGUUCUGACGUNGAGGGACAAAAGCGUGGGGAGCAAAGGGGAUUAGAUACCCCAGUAGUCCACGCCGUAAACNCUGNAUGUUAGGCAUUGGGAGUCAUCGACCCUCUCAGUNCCGGUUUAGAUAACUCGUUAAACAUCCCGCCUGGGGAGUACGAGCGCAAGCUUAAAACUCAAAGGAAUAGACGGGGACCCGCACAAUCGGUGGAGCGCGUGGUUUAAUUCCGAUAAUGAGCGANAAACCUCNCCAAGGCUUGACAUCCUGUAUGCAGGCCCUAGAGAUAGGGUUCCCUGCGAGGGUGCAGAACAGGCGUCUGCAUGGUUGCCGUCAGCUCGUGUCGUGAGAUGUUCCGUUAAGUCGGGAAACGAGCGAAACCCCUGCCCAUAAGUUUCAAGUGUCUUAGGGGACUGCCCGNUAUAAGCGGGAGGAAGGAGGGGACGACGUCAAAUCAGCAUGGCCCUUACGUCUUGGGCGACACACGUGCUACAAUGGGAAGUACAAAGGGACAGCCAAGCCGCAAGGUGGAGCAAAUCCUUUAAAACUUAUUCUCAGUGCGGAUUGGGGUCUGAAACUCGACCCCAUGAAGUUGGAAUCGCGUAGUAAUCGUGGANCAGCACGUCGCGG